This 425-nucleotide ribosomal RNA is filed under the name uncultured Gammaproteobacteria bacterium. Its description in RNAcentral is "bacterial SSU rRNA". It matches the Rfam family "Bacterial small subunit ribosomal RNA", at positions 9 to 431 of the family's 1533-position model. The record is from RNAcentral. Lineage: Bacteria; Pseudomonadati; Pseudomonadota; Gammaproteobacteria.
GAGUUUGAUCAUGGCUCAGAGUGAACGCUGGCGGCAGGCCUAACACAUGCAAGUCGAACGGCAGCACAGCAGUAGCAAUACUGUGGGUGGCGAGUGGCGGACGGGUGAGGAAUACAUGGGAAUCUACCCUGUCGUGGGGGAUAACGUAGGGAAACUUACGCUAAUACCGCAUACGGCCGAGAGGUGAAAGCGGCGGACCGCAAGGCGUCGCGCGAUUGGAUGAGCCCAUGUCGGAUUAGCUAGUUGGCGGGGUAAAGGCCCACCAAGGCGACGAUCCGUAGCUGGUCUGAGAGGAUGAUCAGCCACACUGGAACUGAGACACGGUCCAGACUCCUACGGGAGGCAGCAGUGGGGAAUAUUGGACAAUGGGCGCAAGCCUGAUCCAGCCAUGCCGCGUGAGUGAAGAAGGCCUUCGGGUUGUAAGC